CAAGAUGUAGCUUAAUUAACCAAAGCAUUCGGCUUACACCCGGAAGACUUCCAUACNMMCCUGAACAUCUUGA
RNAcentral lists this transfer RNA (73 nucleotides) under Prosciurillus weberi (Weber's dwarf squirrel). Its description in RNAcentral is "tRNA-Val". It matches the Rfam family "tRNA". From Rfam's summary of the family: Transfer RNA (tRNA) molecules are approximately 80 nucleotides in length. Their secondary structure includes four short double-helical elements and three loops (D, anti-codon, and T loops). Lineage: Eukaryota; Metazoa; Chordata; Mammalia; Rodentia; Sciuridae. The record is from RNAcentral.